GACGGAGGGUGCUAGCGUUGUUCGGAAUCACUGGGCGUAAAGGGCGCGUAGGCGGCGCCGCAAGUCGGCGGUGAAAGCCCGGGGCUCAACCCCGGAGCUGCAGUCGAUACUGCGGAUCUGGAGGCCGGAGGAGGUGGGUGGAAUUCCUAGUGUAGAGGUGAAAUUCGUAGAUAUUAGGAAGAACACCGGUGGCGAAAGCGGCUCUCUGGUCCGGUACUGACGCUGAGGCGCGAAAGCGUGGGGAGCAAACAGG
This 253-nucleotide ribosomal RNA is filed under the name uncultured bacterium. RNAcentral's name for it is "partial 16S ribosomal RNA". It matches the Rfam family "Bacterial small subunit ribosomal RNA", at positions 524 to 776 of the family's 1533-position model. The record is from RNAcentral.